AUUUUUGCCGAAUUCCUUUUUAUUAAUUUUAAUUAAUUUUAUUUUAUUUUUUUUUUUAUACUAAUUUUAUCAUUAUAACUAAUUUUUUGUUAUUAAAAAUUAUUUUUCUAUAUAAAUUUAAAUAUAAAUUUAAAUUUUAAAAUAAAUAAAAUUAUUUAUAAAAAAUUAUAAUUUAUAAAAAAUAUAAAUUUUAAAAUAUUUAAAUAGUUUAUUAAUAUUAUAAAAAUUUAAUUUAAAGCUUGUCCCUUAAAAUAUUUAAUUAAAUAUAUAAUUUUAUAUAACAAAUUUAAAAAAUUAUUAAAUUAAUUUAAAAUUAAAUUUUUUUCUAAAAAAACUAGAUAUUUUUAAAAACGAUUAACAUUUCAUUUCAAAUUAAUUAUUUAAAAUAAUUAUGUCACAUUAACUUUAAUAAUUAACUAUCUCUUUUAAAUUCGAGAUAUUUUUAUUUAAAAAUAUUUUAUUAAUAAACUCUGAUACACAAGAUACAAUAAAUUAAAUUUACUUAAAUAAUAAUCGAUAUUUAACUUUAUUUCAAAAUUCUUUCACAAUACUAUUAAACUAUAAAUUAAUAAAUUUUUUCUAAAAAAUACUUUAACCCCCAUUAAUUAUUUUUUAUAAUUAUUUUUAUUAUUUAUUUUAUUAUAUUAAUUUUCCCCCA
This 658-nucleotide ribosomal RNA is filed under the name Colias scudderii (willow sulphur). RNAcentral describes it as "partial large subunit ribosomal RNA". Lineage: Eukaryota; Metazoa; Arthropoda; Insecta; Lepidoptera; Pieridae. The record is from RNAcentral.